RNAcentral lists this ribosomal RNA (614 nucleotides) under uncultured Lachnospiraceae bacterium. RNAcentral describes it as "bacterial SSU rRNA". It matches the Rfam family "Bacterial small subunit ribosomal RNA", at positions 73 to 704 of the family's 1533-position model. The record is from RNAcentral. Lineage: Bacteria; Bacillati; Bacillota; Clostridia; Lachnospirales; Lachnospiraceae.
CGGAUUGAAGCAACUGUGACUGAGCGGCGGACGGGUGAGAAACGCGUGGGUAACCUGCCUCAUACAGGGGGAUAACAGUUGGAAACGGCUGCUAAUACCGCAUAAGCGCACAGUACCGCAUGGUACCGUGUGAAAAACUCCGGUGGUAUGAGAUGGACCCGCGUCUGAUUAGGUAGUUGGUGGGGUAACGGCCUACCAAGCCGACGAUCAGUAGCCGACCUGAGAGGGUGACCGGCCACAUUGGGACUGAGACACGGCCCAAACUCCUACGGGAGGCAGCAGUGGGGAAUAUUGCACAAUGGGGGAAACCCUGAUGCAGCGACGCCGCGUGAGCGAUGAAGUAUUUCGGUAUGUAAAGCUCUAUCAGCAGGGAAGAAAAUGACGGUACCUGACUAAGAAGCCCCGGCUAACUACGUGCCAGCAGCCGCGGUAAUACGUAGGGGGCAAGCGUUAUCCGGAUUUACUGGGUGUAAAGGGAGCGUAGACGGCAUGGCAAGCCAGAUGUGAAAGCCCGGGGCUCAACCCCGGGACUGCAUUUGGAACUGUCAGGCUAGAGUGUCGGAGAGGAAAGCGGAAUUCCUAGUGUAGCGGUGAAAUGCGUAGAUAUUAGGAGG